This 253-nucleotide ribosomal RNA is filed under the name uncultured bacterium. RNAcentral's name for it is "partial 16S ribosomal RNA". It matches the Rfam family "Bacterial small subunit ribosomal RNA", at positions 524 to 776 of the family's 1533-position model. The record is from RNAcentral.
UACGGAGGGUGCAAGCGUUGUUCGGAUUUAUUGGGCGUAAAGCGCGUGUAGGCGGUCUUCUAAGUCUGAUGUGAAAUCCCUCGGCUUAACCGGGGAACUGCGUCUGAUACUGGAUGGCUUGAGUUCGGGAGGGGGAUGCGGAAUUCCAGGUGUAGCGGUGAAAUGCGUAGAUAUCUGGAGGAACACCGGUGGCGAAGGCGGCAUCCUGGACCGACACUGACACUGAGGAGCGAAAGCCAGGGGAGCAAACGGG